This 777-nucleotide long non-coding RNA is filed under the name Hordeum vulgare. Its description in RNAcentral is "long non-coding RNA (HVUL_LNC012530)". Lineage: Eukaryota; Viridiplantae; Streptophyta; Magnoliopsida; Poales; Poaceae. The record is from RNAcentral.
GCCCUGAGCAAAGGCUAAUUUUGCCUAGUCGUCCAGCUCAAUGAUCUUCACGACAGAGGAAUCUCCCACUUUCUGGCACACAACAACACGGUCAUGCGAUUUGAUCACACCGGAUGCUUUGCCAUGGUCAAGAGCAACCUUCAACACAGAUUCAUUUGUAGUACUAGUAGAUUCAGCCUUCAGGGCAGAGAAGGAAUGUCAGUAGAAAUCACCAGCCACACCGAGCAUCUUACUAGUUGGGUCCAAAAUCAAGGAAUUCUAGCUACCAAAUAAUUUAAGGUAGAUGCAAGAUGAAACACCUCCAAACAUCAGCCUCACUGGUGCACACCAGCUUAUAAAGCUCACAUAUUGCAUUUAUAGUACAAAGAAUCAACAAACCAGCCUAACAGUUCGGAAGUGAACUGCAGUCUACUGUUUAUUGCUUCGAAACCAUCCCUAAUAGCUAAUUUGUUAAGAGUGAUAGUACAACAUGAUGCAAGCAAAAUUAAGUAGGAUUAGUAGGUUCGCUUGUAUGUAAAGCAUUCAAUUUUUCACAUAUUGUGUAUAUGCACUAACGGCAACUACCAUUAUUCCAUUUAUGUUCAGAACAAGGACGUUCAUAUUUAUAGGUAGUUUAUAUUUUUCGUAUUAUACAUACUGGGUCAUGAAUUCUAAAAUUUAAAAGAACCACCAAAUUAUGGUUUACAAAAAUAUGAUUAAAUUAAUGUAGCCAACAGAUGAAAGGCAGGUUAACUCACGGGGUGACGUGGAUCAGCAAGCAUGGGAAAGAGGCCUCUA